AGGGAAGGCGUAGGGAAACCGAGUCUUAAUAGGGCGCUUAGUUGCAGGCUGUAGACCCGAAACCCGUCGAUCUAUCCAUGUCCAGGGUGAAGUUGUGGUAACACACAAUGGAGGCCCGAACUCACGCCUGUUGAAAAAGUCGGAGAUGAGGUGUGGAUAGGAGUGAAAGGCUAAUCAAGGCGGGUGAUAGCUGGUUCUCCUCGAAAGCUAUUUAGGUAGCGCCUCAUGUAUCACUGUAGGGGGUAGAGCACUGUUUCGGCUAGGGGGUCAUCCCGACUUACCAAACCGAUGCAAACUCCGAAUACCUACAAGUGCCGAGCAUGGGAGACACACGGCGGGUGCUAACGUCCGUCGUGAAAAGGGAAACAACCCAGACCCACAGCUAAGGUCCCCAAUUACCGCUAAGUGGAAAACGAUGUGGGAAGGCACAGACAGCCAGGAUGUUGGUUUAGAAGCAGCCA
Molecule: ribosomal RNA, 461 nt
Filed under: Aplanochytrium sp. PBS07
Lineage: Eukaryota; Bigyra; Thraustochytrida; Thraustochytriidae
Description: partial Bacterial large subunit ribosomal RNA
Rfam family: Bacterial large subunit ribosomal RNA
Source: RNAcentral